Molecule: long non-coding RNA, 1722 nt
Organism: Gallus gallus (chicken)
Lineage: Eukaryota; Metazoa; Chordata; Aves; Galliformes; Phasianidae
Exons: 2
Source: RefSeq, a predicted model, not a curated record
UGCUUUAAAUUCUGGUAAGAGGCAGAUGACCAUUACUAAAAGUGAUGCCUUGCUGCAGUGCUGUCACAGCGUAGAGAUACUGCUUCUGACAUAAAAGGGGCACUGUGUGAGAACAGAGCUGUGGAAGGGAGGGAUAUGGUUCCCCCAAGGUGUUUUCUCACAGGACACUGCUGAGUAGGACCGGCCUUUGCCUCCACAAAGAAUACUCAAAAAGAAAGCCUGUUUUCAGAAGAUGCCAGUAGCUGACUGUACAUCCUGCUCUGUUGUCCCGUUCCAGCCUCCAGUAGCAGGCAGAAAGACUGGCAACGUUCCAGCCCAGAAGUACAGUUUAUAACACUGCAGUUCCUAACAGCUGGAUUUUUAGCACCGUAUGGGGACAGAACAGCUCCUCUGUUACCUGCUCCGGUGAGAAUUCAGCCAUGGGUCCAUGCAGCACAGCAAGGAGGGUGCUUGGAGAGGAAACCGUGGUGCAUGCAGCGCCUAAAAGCCCAACACAGAACAGCAGUGCGUGGAAACGUCUUCCAUUCACUGCUCGGGCUGAGCUCAGCAUCAGCCGCCCUGCCAUUAGGAUGGACUGUAAACACAUGAAGCCCCAACGUAUUCCUAAGCAGUUCUGCUCAGUCUCCAUCUGUGCUGAGGGCGCUGUGUGACAGCAACGCUGUGUUCUCAAGAAUGCCAUUAUCCGCCUGCUUGGACAAACACGGAGGUUUUGAAAUAAUACAUUCUUCCCAACUCACUCUGUAUGAGAUGCUCUGAAGGUUCGUCUCAGACAUAUUUGUCCUUCUCCAUUAGGACACGCCGGCGUCCCCUCUGCGCUGCUCUCUGUUCUGUGCUGUUUGGGCUGAGGGAGAGCAGCACAUUCCGUGACAUUAAAUGCAUUUCUGCUGCUCGGUGUUGGGCUGCCCCAACUACCUGUGCCUGCAGUGGCCUCUCCGGAGGCAAAGAGUCGGCACAGAUCUCAGGAGAGAAGAGCUGAGUGCACAGGGGGCUCUUGCUGAGGGACAGAGGGGAUGAAUGGAGACAGCCUCCCUGCACUUACAGGAGGAAAUGGAUGCAGCUCAAGUGCAUGCAGUUCAGACACGGAGCUGGGAACAUGCUGUACCGAGCACUGUGUUUUCUCUACGUUGUUGUUGUUGUCACACAUAGCGCAGCCUAUGGCAGGUCAGUCGAACCGGGUGAUGUCCUCAGAUUCAGCAAAAUCAGUGUGUUUUGAGAUUAAAUCUACUGAUCUCCUACACCUCAUGUUCACAAGAGACGGAAGCGGUGAUAUGGCUUUCGUUAGUGCCGUCCUACGUGAAGCGCUUGCGGAGCUCCUGGCACCACACUUCUGCUCCAUCACAACGGCUGCCAUCCCCACCUCUUCACCACAGUGUGAAGGAAUGAGAUUCCAGAGAAGGGAGAGGGGUUGAGCACGGGGACGCAGCUCUGCUUCUGCCGCAGCCACGGGGCGUCGGGGAGCGGAGGGGACACCACGAGGAUGCGGCACUCGCUGGUCAUCCCAAUGGAGCGACAGCUGCAACUCCCCGGGCCGUGUUAAUGGUGCCGGGGCUGCUCUUUAAGUAAUGCCUCCGAUUGUAUUACGCUGGCAUAGUGAAUGGUGGUGACUGCGUGGAAAAAACAGCGUUCCGUAGCCGGGAAUUCGUUCUGUCAAAUGGGACUGUGCUCUUUGCAUCUCCUGAAGUUUCCGUGGAAAUAAAAUAGGAGCCGUUGCUUUUGGAGCGA